UGGGAGGUCGUUCAAUGGUAGGACAGCUGGCUCUGGACCAGCAUAUCGGGGUUCGACUCCCUGCCUCCCAGCCA
RNAcentral lists this transfer RNA (74 nucleotides) under Burkholderiales bacterium. RNAcentral's name for it is "tRNA-Gln". It matches the Rfam family "tRNA". From Rfam's summary of the family: Transfer RNA (tRNA) molecules are approximately 80 nucleotides in length. Their secondary structure includes four short double-helical elements and three loops (D, anti-codon, and T loops). The record is from RNAcentral. RNAcentral also lists the same sequence under 4 other names. Lineage: Bacteria; Pseudomonadati; Pseudomonadota; Betaproteobacteria; Burkholderiales.